This is a non-coding RNA of Podarcis lilfordi (Lilford's wall lizard), 2240 nucleotides long. Lineage: Eukaryota; Metazoa; Chordata; Lepidosauria; Squamata; Lacertidae. The record is from the annotation of a GenBank genome assembly.
GAAACUCCUGAAUUGCUUUGCUGUUUAAAUAAUAUUUUAAAAUAUUCCUUAUCCCUUAAUGGCAUUUGGAGUAAAAUGUCUGGCAACAAUCAUUCUCCUUCCUGCCUAUUAUUUUUAAUGCAGCAAGAUUGCAGUAUAAUAAAUUUUGACAUUGUAACCUAAAAUAGAUAAGAUUAGCUUGCUUGUUAUGCAAGCAGUGCUGCCCCACAAAUUAUUGUUAGGAAAUGUAAUUUUGUCAAAUGACAGACAAAAUGCAUGCCACUUUUGCUCUUAACAGCCUAGUCUAAUCUGAAAUAGCAUCUAUGAAGAAACAUACGACAGUGAGAUUCAAUACAAGAGGUGAAAGUGGCUUUAAUUAUAUCUAUUCCUCAGAUUUGACAGGAUGUAUUCAGAAUUUGAGGAUCUUGCCUUUCUGUGUAAAAUCAGAAGCCAAAUAGAGCAUCUGUAUUCUAAAGAUAAUGGCCAUUUACCUGAAGUAACUUUCCCCAUCCACAAUGACUAUGGUAACAAUUAAGACUUUUGCUUAGUUCAAUGCAAAUUUAGUGUUAGAGAUUUUAGCAUUGCACUUACAGAGCAUAUUCAAAAUUUACAAUCCAGUAGGAAAUAUCUUGCACUAUGCCAACACACACACACACACACACAGUAUCAUUCCCAGAUGACUUCUGUACCAAAAGAAAAAGAAAAGACUGCCAGCUCACAAAAAGCAUGACUGCAUGAGCACAGAUGAUUGCAUUUCAAAGUCUUUCAAUUUGAACAUUAUGCACCAUUCCUGUCCAUUAUGCUCACAUAGGGAGGCCUUUCUCCUUGCCUCGCUUGUUUCAAAGGUUAGGGUUCAAAUGUAAGAAAACAAACAACAUAAUUACUGUAAUCAAAUGUGGACUGUCUUGUGCCAGAUGUGCCCAAACUGUUGUGGUGCUCAUUGAUACUGGAGCAGAAUGUUGUAAUAAGGCUAUAACCCAGGCAUAGGCAAACUCGGCCCUCCAUAUGUUUUGGGACUAUGAAAUAUACUCAGAGUCGCAAAGUGAUUUCAUGCUCUUUAUUCAGCUCAUAGUGGUGAGGAGGAAUGAAUGAAUGUCCCCUCAAAGUAUCUGCUUUAUAUACAUUAUUUACACAAUGGGCUGCACAUGAUUGGUUAAUUCUGGAAUUCUACUGUAAGCCAAUCAGGUUGUGGAUUCACUUAUAUCUGGAGCAUGAUUGGGUGGUUCCUGCCAACCAAUCAUACUGCUGCAUUGUUCUUGGACCAAUCAGACUGCUGCAUUCUGAAUCCUAUUGUUCUAGGACCAAUCAGACCGCUGCAAUUUGGAUCCUAUUGUUCUAGGACCAAUCAGACUGCUGCAGUUUGGAUCCUAUUCAACUCAGUACAUAACAGACUACAACUCCCAUGAUCCCUAGCUAACAGGACCAGUGGUCAGGGAUGAUGGGAAUUGUAGUCCCAAAUCAUCUGAAGGGCCUAGUUUGCCUAUGCCUGCUAUAACCCUAUUAUUAUUAUUUUAAAUCCAAUUAAUUGUAUGAGCUUUUGUCAAUUGAUCAAGGGAGGACACCAUUUCCUUGUUUUUAGAUGAUACAUGCAUGUAUCAAAGCAGGAACCAUUUUAGAAGAGGCAUUUCAUCAUGCCUGCUUGAGAAGGAUGAAUGUCUCUUCCAAGAUAUUGCCUGUCACUUACCAUUUAUGAAAUAAGGAAUGAAAACCUGUUGGUCUUCAGAUGUUGCUAGACUAGAACUUCAACCAUCUCAGACCAUAGCCCAGGUGGGGCAGAGCUAGUCCAAGAGCUAGUCCAACAGCAUCAGGAAGGCUACAGGAAGCCAUCCCUGGGGAGUUAUUCUAUGAGUAACCACUUGGGGGUAGGUAGGUAGGUAGGUAGGUAGGUAGGUAAGCAGGUAGAUAUAGAUAGAUAGAUAGAUGAUAGAUAGAUAGAUAGAUAGAUAGAUAGAUAGAUAUAGAUAGAUAAUAGAUAGAUAGAUGAUAGAUAGAUAGAUAGAUGAUAGAUAGAUAGAUAGAUAGAUGAUAGAUAGAUAGAUAGAUAGAUAGAUAGAUAGAUAGAUAGAUAGAUAGAUAGAUAGAUAGAUAGACAGAUAGAUAGAUGAUAGAUAGAUAGAUAUCCUAAUUAAUUGGGAACAUAUUUGAGAGGAUUACAAUAGUUUUCAUAAAUUAAUCUAAUCAAUUCAUUGUUCUCAUUCAUAGCAGAUUCAAGGACCACAGCUGAGUCAGGCAAGAUAUAGCUGUUAAAUGCACUGUAAAUC